This 561-nucleotide ribosomal RNA is filed under the name uncultured bacterium. RNAcentral's name for it is "bacterial SSU rRNA". It matches the Rfam family "Bacterial small subunit ribosomal RNA", at positions 337 to 916 of the family's 1533-position model. The record is from RNAcentral.
UCCUACGGGAGGCAGCAGUGGGGAAUAUUGGACAAUGGGGGCAACCCUGAUCCAGCCAUGCCGCGUGUGUGAAGAAGGCCUUAGGGUCGUAAAGCUCUUUCGCCUGUGAUGAUAAUGACAGUAGCAGGUAAAGAAACCCCGGCUAACUCCGUGCCAGCAGCCGCGGUAAUACGGAGGGGGUUAGCGUUGUUCGGAAUUACUGGGCGUAAAGCGCGCGUAGGCGGAUUAGAAAGUUGGGGGUGAAAUCCCGGGGCUCAACCCCGGAACUGCCUCCAAAACUGCUAGUCUAGAGUUCGAGAGAGGUGAGUGGAAUUCCGAGUGUAGAGGUGAAAUUCGUAGAUAUUCGGAGGAACACCAGUGGCGAAGGCGGCUCACUGGCUCGAUACUGACGCUGAGGUGCGAAAGUGUGGGGAGCAAACAGGAUUAGAUACCCUGGUAGUCCACACCGUAAACGAUGAAUGCCAGUCGUCGGAUAGUAUACUAUUCGGUGACACACCUAACGGAUUAAGCAUUCCGCCUGGGGAGUACGGUCGCAAGAUUAAAACUCAAAUGAAUUGACGG